Molecule: transfer RNA, 69 nt
Filed under: Henicorhynchus siamensis (Siamese mud carp)
Lineage: Eukaryota; Metazoa; Chordata; Actinopteri; Cypriniformes; Cyprinidae
Description: tRNA-Met
Source: RNAcentral
GGCGGAGUCAGCUAAAUAAGCUUUCGGGCCCAUACCCCGCGCAUGAUGGUUAAAAUCCCUCCUCCACCA